ACUACGGAGAGUUUGAUCCUGGCUCAGGACGAACGCUGGCGGCGUGCCUAACACAUGCAAGUCAAGGCGGUAGCAAUACCGACUGGCGCACGGGUGCGGAACGCGUAGGCAAUCUGCCCACGAGGGGAGAACAACCAGCCGAAAGGUUGGCUAAAUCUCCGUAACAUAAGAAGCCGGCAUCGGUUUUUUAUCAAGCUUUCUUGUGGAUGAGCCUGCGUCUGAUUAGCUAGUUGGUAGUGUAACGGACUACCAAGGCUUCGAUCAGUAGCUGGUCUGAGAGGAUGAUCAGCCACAUUGGGACUGAGACACGGCCCAGACUCCUACGGGAGGCAGCAGUGAGGAAUAUUGCUCAAUGGACGAAAGUCUGAAGCAGCAACGCCGCGUGAGGGAUGAAGGUGCUUUGCAUUGUAAACCUCUG
This 418-nucleotide ribosomal RNA is filed under the name Bacteroidota bacterium. RNAcentral describes it as "bacterial SSU rRNA". It matches the Rfam family "Bacterial small subunit ribosomal RNA", at positions 1 to 435 of the family's 1533-position model. Lineage: Bacteria; Pseudomonadati; Bacteroidota. The record is from RNAcentral.